GGGGCCAUAGCUCAGUUGGUAGAGCACCUGCUUUGCAAGCAGGAUGUCGUCGGUUCGAUUCCGGCUGGCUCCACCA
Molecule: transfer RNA, 76 nt
Filed under: Pseudobdellovibrionaceae bacterium
Lineage: Bacteria; Pseudomonadati; Bdellovibrionota; Bdellovibrionia; Bdellovibrionales; Pseudobdellovibrionaceae
Description: Bdellovibrionaceae bacterium tRNA-Ala
Rfam family: tRNA
About the family: Transfer RNA (tRNA) molecules are approximately 80 nucleotides in length. Their secondary structure includes four short double-helical elements and three loops (D, anti-codon, and T loops). Further hydrogen bonds mediate the characteristic L-shaped molecular structure. tRNAs have two regions of fundamental functional importance: the anti-codon, which is responsible for specific mRNA codon recognition, and the 3' end, to which the tRNAs corresponding amino acid is attached (by aminoacyl-tRNA synthetases). tRNAs cope with the degeneracy of the genetic code in two manners: having more than one tRNA (with a specific anti-codon) for a particular amino acid; and 'wobble' base-pairing, i.e. permitting non-standard base-pairing at the 3rd anti-codon position.
Source: RNAcentral